This 301-nucleotide ribosomal RNA is filed under the name uncultured bacterium. RNAcentral describes it as "partial 16S ribosomal RNA". It matches the Rfam family "Bacterial small subunit ribosomal RNA", at positions 509 to 807 of the family's 1533-position model. The record is from RNAcentral.
CAGCAGCCGCGGGAAUACGUAGGUGGCAAGCAUUGUCCGGAAUUAUUGGGCGUAAAGGGCUCGCAGGCGGUUUCUUAAGUCUGAUGUGAAAGCCCCCGGCUCAACCGGGGAGGGUCAUUGGAAACUGGGAAACUUGAGUGCAGAAGAGGAGAGUGGAAUUCCACGUGUAGCGGUGAAAUGCGUAGAGAUGUGGAGGAACACCAGCGGCGAAGGCGACUCUCUGGUCUGUAACUGACGCUGAGGAGCGAAAGCGUGGGGAGCGAACAUGAUUAGAUACCCCCGUAGUCCCUGUCUCUUAUAC